RNAcentral lists this ribosomal RNA (790 nucleotides) under uncultured bacterium. RNAcentral describes it as "bacterial SSU rRNA". It matches the Rfam family "Bacterial small subunit ribosomal RNA", at positions 8 to 796 of the family's 1533-position model. The record is from RNAcentral.
AGAGUUUGAUCCUGGCUCAGGAUGAACGCUAGCGGCAGGCCUAAUACAUGCAAGUCGAGGGGCAGCACGGGUAGCAAUAUCUGGUGGCGACCGGCGCACGGGUGCGUAACACGUAUGCAACCUACCUUCAACAGGAAGAUAGCCCGGGGAAACUCGGAUUAAUAUUCCAUAAAACAGGGGACCCACAUGGGUAUAUUGUUAAAGCUCCGGCGGUUGAAGAUGGGCAUGCGUCCGAUUAGCUAGUUGGUGAGGUAACGGCUCACCAAGGCGACGAUCGGUAGGGGGUCUGAGAGGAUGAUCCCCCACACUGGUACUGAGAUACGGACCAGACUCCUACGGGAGGCAGCAGUAGGGAAUAUUGGUCAAUGGGGGCAACCCUGAACCAGCCAUGCCGCGUGCAGGAAGAAGGCCUUCUGGGUUGUAAACUGCUUUUGAUCGGGAACAAAUGACUCCUGCGGGAGUAGCUGAGUGUACCGAUAGAAUAAGCCACGGCUAACUACGUGCCAGCAGCCGCGGUAAUACGUAGGUGGCAAGCGUUGUCCGGAUUUAUUGGGUUUAAAGGGUGCGUAGGCGGCUUGAUAAGUCAGUGGUGAAAGCCGAUCGCUCAACGAUCGAAUUGCCAUUGAUACUGCCAGGCUUGAGUACAGUUGAGGUAGGCGGAAUUGACAGUGUAGCGGUGAAAUGCAUAGAUAUUGUCAAGAACACCGAUUGCGAAGGCAGCUUACUAAAGUGUAACUGACGCUGAGCACGAAAGUGGGGGAUCAAACAGGAUUAGAUACCCUAGUAGUCC